This 426-nucleotide ribosomal RNA is filed under the name uncultured bacterium. RNAcentral's name for it is "bacterial SSU rRNA". It matches the Rfam family "Bacterial small subunit ribosomal RNA", at positions 355 to 773 of the family's 1533-position model. The record is from RNAcentral.
UGGGGAAUAUUUGACAAUGGGCGCAAGCCUGAUCCAGCCAUUCCGCGUGCAGGACGAAAGCCUUCGGGUUGUAAACUGCUUUUGUACGGAACGAAAAGCCCUUCUCUAAUACAGAGGGGUCAUGACGGUACCGUAAGAAUAAGCACCGGCUAACUACGUGCCAGCAGCCGCGGUAAUACGUAGGGUGCAAGCGUUAAUCGGAAUUACUGGGCGUAAAGCGUGCGCAGGCGGUCUUGCAAGACAGGUGUGAAAUCCCCGGGCUCAACCUGGGAACUGCAUUUGUGACUGCAAGGCUAGGGUACGGUAGGGGGGGAUGAAAUUCCGCGUGUAGCAGUGAAAUGCGUAGAUAUGCGGAGGUACACCGAUGGCGAGGGCAAUCCCCUGAACCUGUACUGACGCUCAUGCACGAAAGCUUGGGGAGCAAAC